AAGCCUGAUGCAGCGACGCCGCGUGAGGGAUGACGGCCUUCGGGUUGUAAACCUCUUUCAGCAGGGAAGAAGCGCAAGUGACGGUACCUGCAGAAGAAGCACCGGCUAACUACGUGCCAGCAGCCGCGGUAAUACGUAGGGUGCGAGCGUUGUCCGGAAUUAUUGGGCGUAAAGAGCUCGUAGGCGGCUUGUCGCGUCGGAUGUGAAAGCCCGGGGCUUAACCCCGGGUCUGCAUUCGAUACGGGCAGGCUAGAGUUCGGUAGGGGAGAUCGGAAUUCCUGGUGUAGCGGUGAAAUGCGCAGAUAUCAGGAGGAACACCGGUGGCGAAGGCGGAUCUCUGGGCCGAUACUGACGCUGAGGAGCGA
Molecule: ribosomal RNA, 365 nt
Filed under: Streptomyces sp.
Lineage: Bacteria; Bacillati; Actinomycetota; Actinomycetes; Kitasatosporales; Streptomycetaceae
Description: bacterial SSU rRNA
Rfam family: Bacterial small subunit ribosomal RNA
Source: RNAcentral